GUGUAGGAUUAGUGUAGUGUAGGAUUAGUGUAGUGUGGAGUUAGUGUAGUGUAUGGUUACUGUAGUGUAUGGUUAGUGUAGUGUGGGGUUAGUGUAGUGUAGGAUUAGUGUAGUGUGGAGUUAGUGUUGUGUGGGGUUAGUGUAGUGUGGGUUUAGUGUAGUGUAGGGUUAGUGUAGUGUAUGGUUAGUGUAGUGUAGGGUUAGUGUAGUGUAUGUGUAGUGUAGUGUAUGGUUAGUGUAGUGUGGGGUUAGUGUAGUGUAUGGUUAGUGUAGUGUGGGUUAGUGUAGUUGUGGAGUUAGUGUAGUGUAUGGUUAGCGUAGUGUAUGGUAGGAUUAGUGUAGUGUAUGGUUAGUGUAGUGUGGGGUUAGUGUAGUGUAUGGUUAGUGUGGUGUGGGUUUAGUGUAGUGUAUGGUUAGUGUGGUGUGGGGUUAGUGUAGUGUGGGUUAGUGUAGUGUAGAGUUAGUGUAGUGUGGGUUAGUGUAGUGUAGAGUUAGUGUAGUGUGGGUUAGUGUAGUGUAUGGUUAGUGUAGUGUAGAGUUAGUGUAGUGUGGGUUAGUGUAGUGUAUGGUUAGUUUAGUGUAUGGUUAGUGUAGUGUAUGGUUAGUGUAGUGUGGGUUAGUUGUAGUGUAUGGUUAGUGUGGUGUGGGGUUAGUGUAGUGUAUGGUUAGUGUAGUGUGGGGUUAGUGUAGUGUGGAGUUAGUGUAGUGUAUGGUUAGUGUAGUGU
Long non-coding RNA from Oncorhynchus tshawytscha (Chinook salmon), 725 nucleotides. The record is from Ensembl. Lineage: Eukaryota; Metazoa; Chordata; Actinopteri; Salmoniformes; Salmonidae.